This 565-nucleotide long non-coding RNA is filed under the name Gallus gallus (chicken). RNAcentral describes it as "lncRNA (ENSGALG00010004105.1)". The record is from RNAcentral. Lineage: Eukaryota; Metazoa; Chordata; Aves; Galliformes; Phasianidae.
GGUGCCUACGGGGCUCUAUGGGGUCUAUGGAGUGGCUGUGCGGCACUAUAAGGCACUAUAGGGCUCUAUGAAGUGCCUAUGGGGCUCUAUGGGGUCUAUGGAGUGGCUAUGAGGCUCUAUGAGGUGGUUAUGAGGCUGUAUGGGGCCCUAUGGGGCUCUAUGGGGUGACUAUGGGGCUCUAUGGGGUCUAUGGAGUGGCUGUGUGGCUCUAUAAGGCACUAUAGGGCUCUAUAAGGUUCUAUGAGGCUCUAUGGGGCUCUACGGGACCAUGGCACUCUAUGGGGUGGUUAUGGGGCUCUAUGGGGGCGCUAUGGGGUGGUUAUGGGGCGCUGUGGGGCGCCUAUGGGGCGCUAUGGGGUGCCUAUGGGGCUCUAUGGGGUCUAUGGAGUGGCUAUGUGGCUCUAUGGGGUGGUUAUGAGGCUGUAUGGGGGCCCUAUGGGGCUCAAUGGGACUAUGGCGCUCUAUGGGGUGGCUUUGGGGCUCUAUGGGGCCCUAUGGGGUGGUAAUGGGGCUUUUCGGGUGCGUGGCCUACACUCUUUGGGGGGCGUGGCCUACACUCUUGGAG